Ceratotherium simum simum (southern white rhinoceros) is the source of this 191-nucleotide non-coding RNA. The record is from RefSeq and is a predicted model, not a curated record. Lineage: Eukaryota; Metazoa; Chordata; Mammalia; Perissodactyla; Rhinocerotidae.
UUGCUUUCGCAGCCGAGACCUCUGGGACAACAUUAGCUCCCAAACCACCACAAAGACCGCGUCGUCCACGUCCCAGACCUAAAACCACACCGAGCCCUCAAGUACCUCACACCAAACCGGUUCCUGCUCUAGUCCUUGAACCUGUCACUCUUAGACCGGAGGCCCCAGGAACAACAGUAGCUUCCAAAACA